CCAUAAGUCAGAGUCAACUUGAAGGCAGGCAAAAACAAUGAAUGUGAAAGAUGUGAGAAGGAAAACUCUAAAAGCAUAUUCCACGGACAGGGCCAGGUACAAGGCUACUAAGAGGAACAAAUAACUGCUGCUCUGGAGAAAGUUACAAGCUGCAAGUCAUGAUAGAAUGCAAGGUAACAUAUGCAGGGCUCCCAGACAGCAUUCCGUCCAAAUCUUAGCUUGAGAUAUGCAUCAGCAAAGUUGCAACAUCCUGUGCCUUCAGACCACAAUGUGGGACCACAAACAGCUAACCAAGGCUAAUUUAUCUCAUAAAACAGGAGACAGAAGAGAUCUUUGGCAACGUACCUACUACAGGAAAAAGGAGUUGCAAUUGCCUGCAUGGGGAGCCAGACAUCAUUUCCAAGAGCAAUAUUGGACAGUCUUUUCCUAACUAGUGGACCAGUUCAAGAAUAGCCAAGACACUUCAGGCUCUUAAGCAUCUCUGAAUAAGAUGUGAAAACAAUAAGGCUGAGACAUCUGUCACUAACUGACUCUAGUGUCUUCUGUUCCUUUGUGGAUAACUCUGGAAGAAAGAGAUGGUAGAAUUGCCUUCAAUAUGAAAGAAAAAUCAUAACAGGUGGCGAUUACAAACGUUUCCAGUGGGCAAGAUCAUAGUGAAGAUAUUUAUUCAGUACUAUAUCUUGCAGAAAGCAUUAUGCCAUCGUGGGACAACUUUGCUGUAACUUGCAUCUAUAUCCUACUCAUUGCAUUACUGCUCUUAUUUGCUGUCUUUGUCUGCAUGUUUAUUCUUAUCUAUGCAUCCAACCUUCUCUUCAGUGACAAGAAUGAUGGCUGAAAGACUGCUACAUACAAGCUUUAACAUUUAAAUGACUUCAUAUCCUUAAGUUUAUUUUCUACCCCUAACAUUUAAAUGUUCCUCAGAAUUAGCUUGGAGGUCUCUUGGUUUAGUCUAACCAUGAAGCAAAGAAAAAGGGGAGGGGAAUCACUGGAUUUCUUUAAACUGGAUAGGAAAUGUCAUUUGUGAAUGUAUACCUGAAUAAAAUCUCUCAUCCCUUUGCAAUACAAGUUCUAUAUUUUCAAGUAUUUUUUUGGAUUUGCGCUUAGCAUGUAAAACCCAUGGGAUCUCUAAUCUACUUGCCUAUUGUCUAAAGAGGCAGAUUAAGAAUUUUACCAUUUCACCCUGCUGUAUUGUACA
Long non-coding RNA from Sceloporus undulatus (fence lizard), 1195 nucleotides. RefSeq lists it as uncharacterized. Lineage: Eukaryota; Metazoa; Chordata; Lepidosauria; Squamata; Phrynosomatidae. The transcript has 6 exons. The record is from RefSeq and is a predicted model, not a curated record.